RNAcentral lists this ribosomal RNA (224 nucleotides) under Klebsiella pneumoniae. Its description in RNAcentral is "partial 16S ribosomal RNA". It matches the Rfam family "Bacterial small subunit ribosomal RNA", at positions 1014 to 1239 of the family's 1533-position model. The record is from RNAcentral. RNAcentral also lists the same sequence under 6 other names. Lineage: Bacteria; Pseudomonadati; Pseudomonadota; Gammaproteobacteria; Enterobacterales; Enterobacteriaceae.
UGCCUUCGGGAACUGUGAGACAGGUGCUGCAUGGCUGUCGUCAGCUCGUGUUGUGAAAUGUUGGGUUAAGUCCCGCAACGAGCGCAACCCUUAUCCUUUGUUGCCAGCGGUUAGGCCGGGAACUCAAAGGAGACUGCCAGUGAUAAACUGGAGGAAGGUGGGGAUGACGUCAAGUCAUCAUGGCCCUUACGACCAGGGCUACACACGUGCUACAAUGGCAUAUA